UAAUGGCGCCGACGACCGUGCCUCAAUCGGCCACGAACGAUUCCUCUAUGGCAGUUCCGGACGAGAAGUGUCCGAAAGAAGCAGAGAGGGGUGUCUCGAAAUGCUGGGCUUCCGGAAGUAGCGAGUGCGCCGCACCGACGCAGUCCGAAAGCGGGUAACGCGUUAUAAGGGGUGACGACGGAGGGCAUC
This 189-nucleotide ribosomal RNA is filed under the name uncultured bacterium. RNAcentral's name for it is "partial 16S ribosomal RNA". The record is from RNAcentral.